RNAcentral lists this non-coding RNA (28 nucleotides) under Rattus norvegicus (Norway rat). Lineage: Eukaryota; Metazoa; Chordata; Mammalia; Rodentia; Muridae. The record is from RNAcentral.
UGUCAAUGAACUGGAGCACAUGGAAAGU